GAUCAUGGCUCAGAUUGAACGCUGGCGGCAGGCCUAACACAUGCAAGUCGAACGGUAACAGAAAGCAGCUUGCUGCUUUGCUGACGAGUGGCGGACGGGUGAGUAAUGUCUGGGAAACUGCCCGAUGGAGGGGGAUAACUACUGGAAACGGUAGCUAAUACCGCAUAACGUCGCAAGACCAAAGGAGGGGGCCUCGGGCCUCUUGCCAUCGGAUGUGCCCAGAUGGGAUUAGCUAGUAGGG
Molecule: ribosomal RNA, 241 nt
Filed under: uncultured bacterium
Lineage: Bacteria
Description: partial 16S ribosomal RNA
Rfam family: Bacterial small subunit ribosomal RNA
Source: RNAcentral